Molecule: non-coding RNA, 187 nt
Organism: Oryza glaberrima (African rice)
Lineage: Eukaryota; Viridiplantae; Streptophyta; Magnoliopsida; Poales; Poaceae
Source: Rfam
AAUGUGUGACACCAUUGACUUUUUGUCCAACGUUUGACCAUUCGUCUUAUUAAAAAAAUUAUGUAAUUAUCAUUUAUUUUAUUAUGACUUGAUUCGUCAUCAAAUGUUUUAAGCAUGACAUAAAUAUUUUCAUAUUUGCACAAAAAUUUUGAAUAAAACGAAUGGUCAAACGUUGAUCGAAAAGUCA